UGCGUAGGUGGCGAGGUAAGUUUGAUGUGAAAUCUCCGAGCUCAACUCGGAAAUGGCAUUGAAUACUAUCCCGCUUGAGGGUCGGAGGGGAGACUGGAAUUCUCGGUGUAGCAGUGAAAUGCGUAGAUAUCGAGAGGAACACCAGUGGCGAAGGCGAGUCUCUGGACGACUCCUGACACUGAGGCAAGACUGGGGAGCAAACA
This 203-nucleotide ribosomal RNA is filed under the name uncultured bacterium. RNAcentral describes it as "partial 16S ribosomal RNA". It matches the Rfam family "Bacterial small subunit ribosomal RNA", at positions 568 to 774 of the family's 1533-position model. The record is from RNAcentral.